Molecule: long non-coding RNA, 38271 nt
Filed under: Vitis vinifera (wine grape)
Lineage: Eukaryota; Viridiplantae; Streptophyta; Magnoliopsida; Vitales; Vitaceae
Description: long non-coding RNA (VVIN_LNC001544)
Source: RNAcentral
UUACCGACCUCCUCAUAGCCAGCGCUAAUGAAGGUCGUCCCGUUGCUUGCAUAAUCUACGGCAUCCUGAUUCCUUGGGUAGCAGAGGUGGCGCAUAGUCUUCACAUCCCCUCCGCACUUUUUUGGAGUCAACCUGUCUCUGUUUUUAAUAUCUAUUAUUAUUAUUUUUGUGGCUAUGGAGAGCUCAUUCGCAAGAAAGUCCGUGACUCCUCGCCUUCCAUUGAAUUACCAGGACUGCCCUUGCUCAGUAGCCGUGACAUUCCCUGUUUCCUACUCCCCUCAAAUGCAAAUGAAUACAACUUCGUCCUUUCAGCGUUUGAGAAGCACCUAGAGAUGCUCCACCGUGAUACCAACCCAACGGUACUGAUAAACACUUUCGAUGCAUUGGAACCAGAGGCCCUAAGGGCCGUCAGUAAGUUUAAGUCGAUUGGAGUUGGACCCUUGUUUCCAACCGCUUUCUUGGGUGGAAAAGAUCCAUCCGAUACUUCAUUUGGAGGUGAUCUUUUCCGUCGUUCAAAGGAUUAUAUUGAAUGGCUGAACUCAAAGCCUGAAUCUUCUGUCAUUUACGUGUCAUUUGGAAGCCUAGCGGUGUUAUCGAAGCAACAGUCUGAGGAGAUUGCUCGUGGAUUGCUGGACAGUGGCCGGCCUUUCCUGUGGGUCAUAAGAGCCAAGGAGAAGGGAGAAGAAGAGAAAGAAGAAGAUAAACUAAGUUGCUACGCAGAAUUAGAACAACAAGGGAUGAUAGUACCAUGGUGUUCUCAGGUUGAGGUUCUCUCAAAUCCAUCACUGGGUUGUUUCGUGACUCAUUGUGGGUGGAAUUCAACCUUGGAGAGCUUGGCUUCUGGGGUGCCAGUUGUGGCAUUUCCUCAGUGGACCGACCAAUCCACGAAUGCAAAGCUAGCCGAAGACGUGUGGAAAACGGGUGUACGGGUGACCGUGAACCAAGAAGGAAUAGUUGAAAGCGAUGAGAUUAAGAGGUGCUUGGAAUUGGUCAUGGGAGAUGGAGAGGAGGCGAAAGAAAUGAGAAGGAAUGCAAAGAAAUGGAAGGGUUUGGCAAGGGAGGCUGUGAUGGAAGGUGGAUCAUCUGACAAGAAUCUUAAGAAUUUUAUGGAUGAGGUCAUACAAGGUUACUAGCUAGAUAUUGUGGUUGUAUCUCUUGGAGUUUAUGUUAAGACUCCCCGAUUAAUUUAAAUAUUUUACAAGAAGAUUUUUAUUAUUUAUGAUGUUAAUACAAGUAGUAGUAUUAAUUAAUGGUAGAGGGCAUAUCUAAAAUUAUGGGAGAUUCAUUGCUUCCUGAAGGCCCUAUCACAAAGGAUCUGUCAAAUGCGUGGCUAAGGUGCUGUUUGGUAAAUGUCCGUUACCAGCCAAAAUUUUGCAAUUAUUGCUAAUGGGAAUCAGGGAAACCCCAAACUGGCCUUGAUGGUCCUUGCGUAAAGACCCAUCCAAUUCUUUACAUUGUGGCCACUGAUUUGGUGUCUUAUCCUCUCAUGCCCAUCACUUCAUGUUUACAAAUUGAUAUUGUAUUCAUAGCUAUUUUUGAUGAAGGUUCAAUUGGCAAGAAGUAUUUUUGCCUUGGGAAGAUGUUGGUUAUGGAUUCAAAGCAAAAUAACAGAUUAAAAAAAUGAUCCUUGUACAAAUUUUUGGGUGCCUCUAUUAAUUAAGUGAAUAUUAUUAUUUAAUUGAUAAAUUAAUAAUUUAUUAAUUUAAUUACUUAUUAAUUAAAUCUCUGGAAUAAUUCUAUUAUGGAACCUAUCUUGCACUAAGAAGCAUCCAUAGCGAUAAUAAUAUUAAAUAAAUUUUUGUUAUAGUACGAGAAUGUUACAUCAGACCUUUUUUUUUUUUUUUUUUUUUUCAUAUUAGGAAUAGUUGAAGAUGAGAUUCAAGUAAACAUCAGUUUUAAGAAGAAAUAACACAUAUAUUUUAAGAAGGAUUCUUGAUAAAACAUAUGAAUUUAAUUACACAUUAGAAAAUUAUUAAUUUCUAUAAUAUGUGGAUUUUAUAUGAAACUACAUAGAUUUUUUAUUUUAUAAAUUUAUCAAAUUAUUAGUUUAGCACGGUGGCCCCAAGUUUAGAUUAAUUAAAAAAAAUUAAUUGAAGUUCUUAAUUAAUUAAAUAUUAAAUUAUUAUAAAGUUUUAUUGUAUUUUAUUUUCAUGGUUCUAAAAAUUGGAUUGAACUAGUCGAUUUGAUUGGUUUGAGCAUUGAUUGACUAUGUAUUUUACAUAUGAGAUCGAUUAUGAGUUGCACUUUCAUCCCAAGGUAUUUUAAAAUUAGGAAAAUCAAUCCCAAGGUAUCUAUUUUUCUUUUCUUAGUCUAUUCACUAUUGUCCAAACACUCCAUAUGUGGAAUGUGGAAUGUAACUUGGAGGGGCUUGAAUAUGCAGAGUUUUAUAACUUUGCACAUUAAUGUCUCAAAGUGUUAAAAUCUUUUACAACUAAUUGUAGAUAAGUUUAGUAUUGACAAAUAAUUUUAUUACAAUUAAAUAAAAUAUUAGAAUUUUUUUAUUAUCCUACUAAUUUUAUGACAAUCAAAUUUAUACAAAAGUAAUUCUUGGUGUCUCGUGUUACUAAAAACAGAAACUCACUUAAGAACUCAUCACGCCUUUGGUGGAGAAAGAUACUUCAUGGGAUGCUAGUAUUAAUUCUCAAGCAGUGGACCUAGGUGAGAGUAAGAAGAAAACCAAAAUAGUAGAACACUCAUCUAAAUUGUCCCAAAAAAAUGGAGGACAAAAUUCCCAAGAAAGUUCAAUAAACAAGUACAAGAAAAGCCAUGAAAGCCCAUUAUUUUUGGAAACAAUGUCAAAUAUUGAAGAAAUUGUCAAAGCAAAAUAUUGAACUUUCAACUUUAGGCACUUAAACAUACUAAUAAGGGGGGGAAUGAACAUAUUACAUAUGACAGUCCUUUAUCGUCGUAUUGACUUUUUUGAUAUGGUGGUAAAGUAUGAAGUGCUUGCAAGAGGGCUAUUAUCAUAUAUGGAAAAUGAUGAGAAAUCCAUACUAUAUAUGGUGAGCUAGAAAAGAAAAAGGCAAGCUAGUGAAAAGAUGCAAAGCCUUGCACUCUAGUUACAAGACGAGUUGCUUUUGUUUGAGGUGCACUUCUACUCACCCAUUAGCCAUAAAUGUAUGCAUUAUUCACAUGCAUUCACUUGGGUCAAGCAUUUUAAUUGUUCAUCUUCAUUACCAAAAAGAAUAAGUUAUUAGCUAGCUAGGUGAUAGAUGAGAAAUAUGUAUCAAGUUAGAAAAAUGCUAAGUUACAUAAUAGGUAUCACACUGAAUUCUAAAUUUGAGCUACUAAUGUGUGGAACAAAACAUGGAUUGUAAAAUACCAAUACUAAAAGAUGAGACUUAGAUAUAAAGAAAUAAAAUAAAAUAAAGUAGAAAAAAAAUAUAAUCUUAGUAUAAUUAAUAAAUAGAAACUUGUUAGAUGCAUGAACAAAAAAGAUCAUUUUUCCACAUAUAUUGACUUUUUGUCAGCUAUCCCUUUUUUUUAUGAGGUAUGGAAAGCAAUUUCCCUAUCAUAGAAUGAUUAAUAAAUGCAUGGGAAAAUAAUUGAACACAUUAAUGAGAUUCAAAUUCAAGAUUCAUAAGCCAAGGUACCUAUUAAAAGCUGCUAGUUGACCUAUAAGUUUAAGCUGAUAGAAAAAUAAUGAUAUCAAGCUUACCAGGAUUAGAUGAAGGGAUUAUAAAAAAGAUAAAAAUAAAAUUAUUGUGUGCAUUCCAAGAAUAGCGACUUGUGAUUGUAUGAGUGGGUGCAAAAAGUGAAGUUAGCCUAUAAGAUUCAUUUCUCCAAUCCUCUCAACAAAGACCACUAGACUGCUAAAGAAUUAUUUGCUACUACAAAUGAGCAACUCCAUCAAGAAGCUAAGGAAUGGCUAAUGCUUACCAUAGAGAAUUGCACCACUCUUUCUAUUUUCAUAGCCACUGUUGCCUUUGCUACAACCUACAUGGUACCAGAGUAAAAAACUUAGAGAUAUGAAGAAAAGAAGAGAUGCGGAGCACCUAUUUGAGAGAAAAUCGGAGAGAUAAAAACUAAAAAAAUUGAACAACUUAGUAUCAUUGAUAAGAACUUUGUUUCUUAUAUACAAAUAUUCAGAAAUUAGUUACAAACAACUGAUUACUACUCAAAAAGUGCUAUUUGAUAGCUUAUAAUUAAUCCUUUUAAACACUUUUGAGUAGUAGUUUUGGCCUUUUAACUCAAUUGGCAUGUUAAGGACCCUUGAAAGCAAUUUUAAUCACUUUGUGUAAGUUUUGGUGUUUUUGUUAGUAUUUUGAUCACCAAAGCAAUUCAAGAUUGAGGAGAAUUUUGAGGAAUCUUGGGCAAAGAUUGGAAGUCAUUUGCCAAGAGUAAAUCCGAAGUGCAAGGAGAAAAAGUAAAGAGAAUCUGCCAUGAAGCAUAUUCUUGAUGACAGUCGUGGCAGCCACUUUUGGAGCACUUUCUGAAGUCCAAUUGAUGCAUGCUAUAUACCAUUUCAAAGAUCAGGAAGUCAACAAUCUAAUGCUUCAAACGGUGCACAAUUCGGAGUUGAAACGAAGAAGUUGCAGCCAUUGCAAGCCAAUCACUCCAAGCUGAAGGAAGCAUUUUCCAAAGUGUUGCGAAAUCACCCUUUUGUUGCGAAGUGAUUUCGCAGCAUUUUUGUACAGUAUGGUGUAUUUCCUCCUGAAGUUGCCCGAUAUAUGCCGCAAGCUGGAAGCUGAGAGCAUCAAGGUAGAAGCCAACUUCGCAGCCCUGCGAAGAUAGCAUGUUGUUGCGAAAUGAUUUCGCAGCCCUUCUUGAGUGUCUGCGAAAUCUCGCAGACACCAUUUUCUCUUGCGGAAUGGUUCCUGGAGCAUCCCGAUAUUUGCUACCGACAUUGGGAGAUAUUUUACAUCAGAUUUUUGUUGUCUAAAUCCCAAAAUACUCCUUGUAAGCCACCAAUUACAAGAUUCCUUAGCUUUAAGUUAGUAAAAAGAGAAAAUAUCUAUGUAAUAAUUAGUUUUAUAUUAUGUUCAUAUAAAUACCUCUCGGGAGCCUGUUCUCAGAGAGAGCCUUUUGUAAAGUUUUAGGUAAGCAAGUAAAGUUCAGUUCUUUGUAUUACCUUACCUUCUCACUUUGUAUAUUUUAUUUUCUUACUAAGUUAUGAACUCUCUGAGGAGUUUUCCCCAGAGAAUGAGUAACUAAACCUCUAAUUCCUUGGAGCUAAGGUUGCCGGGGAAGGUUCCAAGUGCAAGAAUGCAAAGCUUUGUGGUUUUAGCUAGUAAUGAAGAGGAAGUGAAAUCCUUUAGUGAUUUCUAUGUUUUUAGUUAACUUAAAACACCUUAGAGUCAUCUGGGCCAACACUUGGUAAGGCAAGUGAUUUCCAACCAUGGAAAUGCACUAGUUUACCCUUUGCGAGCCUCUGGAAGGUGACUUUAGGGUAGGAUUUUCUAGAAUAGCCAACACUUGGUAAGCUUUUGGACUCCAAGGAGACAUCCAUUAGUUAUCUCUUGCGAGCUUUUGAAGGGAAGUCCAAGGUUAAAGAUCAUCUUGAAUGGUAAGUGCUCGUGAGAGGCAUGAACCAUUGCAAGUUGUAUCAAUGAGAGAAUUAAAGUUGAAAUCCAAUUAAAGGAUGUAUCUGUACAACACCGGUUAGAGAAUUGACUAUAUGUUGAAUCUCUAACGCGAGGAAAGGAACCAUCUGACCGGAGCUAUGUCUUUUGCAUGAGGAACCACCCCAGUGAACCUAACUCUCCAAGGAAUGCUUUUCUUCCUAAGUUAUUCCGAGUACUUGUUAUGUUAGUUAGUUUAAAUCUUUACCAAUCAAAGUUUGUGUUUUAUUUCUUAAGCUAACCUUGAAAUGAAACAAGACCAAUUCACUUGGAAUUGGUAUCAUUGAUAGCUUGCUAAUCCUUCCCAGUGAACGAUCCUAGAGCCGUUAUACUAUAGUAGCUUUUUCUUUGCUACCCUAGUAUAUGGUGUUAUAGGUUAUAAAUUUUGUUGAUUACUCCCUCUAUCAAGGAGCACCAGUUGGACACGAAUCAGCUGAGACACCAAUUGGGCACGAAUCAAAUGGCGCCGUUGCCGGGGAAUGUGUCAAUUUUAUAGCGAUACCAUUUUUUAGCACUUGUGAUUGUCAUCACAAGUUUGGUAACGUUUCUUUCACUUUACUAAUUCUCAUUCUUUCUUUAUUUAUUCAUAAUCCAAGUUUAUCUUUUAAAUUCAGCUUAGUUUAAUUUUGUUUUUCGUAGCCCUGUUUUCUUUUGUUGUCCUUUAUUUUCAUUUUAGUUGCAGAUAGAUACUAGUUGUGUAUGCCAAAUUGGAUACGAGACAGUGGAGGAAGACUUGUUAAGUGUGAUACACCUCAUAACAAAGAAUUUGAGUUGAGCUUGAAUAUCAUGGAAACUACACCUGAAGAUCAGCAUAGUCACCAAGGUCGUCAAGACAAUCUCAAUGAAUUCAGAUCAAUGAGGGACCGUAUGCAUCCACCUCGUAUGAGUGCACCAUCAUGUAUAGUGCCCCCUACAGAGCAGCUAGUGAUCAGACCGUAUCUCGUUCCACUUCUACCAACUUUCCAUGGGAUGGAAAGUGAGAAUCCGUAUGCAUACAUCAAGGAAUUUGAAGAUGUUUGUAAUACAUUCCAAGAGGGAGGAGCUUCAAUUGAUUUGAUGAGGCUUAAGUUAUUUUCUUUUACUUUAAAGGAUAAAGCCAAAAUUUGGCUUAAUUCUUUAAGGCCAAGGAGUAUCCGUUCUUGGACUGACUUACAAGCUGAAUUCCUCAAGAAAUUUUUUCCCACUCAUAGAACAAAUGGCUUGAAAAGGCAAAUUUCAAACUUCUCAGCUAAAGAGAAUGAGAAAUUCUAUGAGUGUUGGGAAAGAUACAUGGAAGCUAUAAAUGCUUGUCUUCACCAUGGCUUUGAUACUUGGCUAUUGGUGAGUUAUUUUUAUGAUGGUAUGUCCUCCUCAAUGAAGCAACUCCUCGAGACAAUGUGUGGAGGAGAUUUCAUGAGUAAAAAUCCAGAGGAAGCUAUGGAUUUCUUGAGCUAUGUAGCUGAUGUUUCAAGGGGAUGGGAUGAACCAACCAAAGGAGAAGUGGGGAAGAUGAAGUCUCAACUGAGUGCUUUCAAUGCAAAGGCUGGGAUGUAUACCUUGAAAGAAGAUGAUGAUAUGAAAGCAAAAUUGGCAGCUAUGACAAGAAGAUUGGAGGAGCUGGAGCUGAAAAGAAUACAUGAAGUGCAAGCUGUUGCUGAAGCACCAGUGCAAGUGAAGCUGUGUCCCAAUUGUCAAUCAUAUGAACAUUUGGUGGAGGAAUGCCCUACAAUUUCAGCUGAAAGGGAGAUGUUUAAAGAUCAAGCAAAUGUUGUUGGACAAUUCAGGCCCAAUAACAAUGCGCCUUAUGGAUAUACCUACAACUCAAGUUGGAGGAAUCAUCCAAAUUUCUCAUGGAAGGCCAGAGCAACUCAAUACCAACAGCCGGAUCCACCACCUCAACAAACUUCAAGUCUUGAUCAAGCAAUGGCUAAUCUCAGCAAGGUAGUGGGAGAUUUUGUUGGAAAGCAAGAAGCCACCAAUGCUCAAAUCUAUCAAAGAAUUGAUAGAGUAGAGAGUAUGUUGAAUAAUAUGAUGGAUGGAAUGCAAAAUGAUAUGAACCAAAAGUUUGAUAACAUCCAAUAUUCAAUUUCAAGGCUUACAAAUUUGAAUACACUGCAAGAAAAGGGAAGAUUUCCUUCUCAACCCCACCAAAACCCCAAAGGUGUCCAUGAAGUGGAAAGCUAAGAGGGAGAAUCAUCACAGAUGAAAGAUGUCAAAGCCUUGAUCACUCUAAGGAGUGGUAAAAAAAUUGAGCAGCCAACACCCAAGCCACAUGUUGAGAAAGAAGAAGAAAUAAAGAAAGGGAAGGAAAUGAAAGAUAAAGACAGUGAGGUCAGUGAAGAAAAGAAGGACUCUGAUUCAACAAUGAAUGCAAUUCCAGAGAAGGAACUUAUGAAGGAAGAAAUGCUGAAGAAAUCAACUUCUCCACCUUUUCCUCAAGCAUUACAUGGGAAAAAGGGGGUUAGAAAUGCAGCUGAAAUCCUUGAAGUAUUGAGACAAGUGAAAGUCAAUAUUCCACUGCUGGAUAUGAUUAAACAAGUUCCAACGUAUGCAAAAUUCCUAAAGGAUUUAUGUACUAUCAAAAGAGGGUUGACUGUAAACAAGAAAGCCUUAUUGACUGAGCAAGUAAGUGCAAUCUUACAAUGUAAGUCUCCAUUGAAGUACAAAGACCCGGGAAGUCCUACCAUUUUAGUCAUGAUUGGAGGAAAGAUAGUGGAAAAAGCCUUGUUAGAUUUGGGAGCAAGUGUGAAUUUGCUUCCAUAUUCCGUCUAUAAGCAAUUGGGACUUGGUGAGUUGAAGCUAAUAGCAAUCACUCUAUCUCUAGCAGAUAGAUCAGUAAAAAUUCCAAGGGGGGUAAUUGAGGAUGUCUUGGUUCAAGUGGAUAAUUUCUACUAUCCAGUAGAUUUUAUUGUUCUUGAUACAGAUCCUACUGUAAAGGAAGCUAAUUUAGUUCCUAUCAUCCUUGGAAGGCCAUUUCUUGCUACCUCAAAUGCAAUCAUCAACUGCAGGAAUGGGCUGAUGCAACUCACUUUUGGCAACAUGACACUGGAUCUCAAUAUUUUCUAUAUGUCUAAAAAGCAAAUCACUCCGGAAGAAGAAGAGGGUCCAGAAGAGCUGUGCAUUAUUGAUACUUUGGUGGAGGAGCACUGUAAUCAAAAUAUGCAAGACAAGUUGAAUGAAAGUCUUGUGAAUUUUGAGGAAGGUUUGUCUGAAUCUCCUACUGUGCUUGCUACUCUACAAAGUUGGAGAAAGAUAGAAGAGAUUCUACCUUUGUUCAAUGAAGAAGAAGAGGCAGCUGCUGAAAAAGAAAUUCCAAAAUUCAAUCUGAAGCCUCUACCUGUGGAGCUGAAAUAUACAUAUCUUGAAGAAAAUAAUCAAUGUCCUGUUGUAAUAUCUUCAUCUCUGACCAGUCAUCAGAAGAAUUGUUUAAUGGAAGUUCUCAAGAGGUGUAAGAGGGCAAUAGGAUGGCAAAUAUCCGACUUGAAAGGCAUUAGUCCUUUAGUUUGUACUCAUCAUAUAUAUAUGGAGGAGGAAGCAAAGCCAAUUCGUCAACUUCAAAGAAGGUUGAAUCCUCAUCUACAAGAGGUGGUGCGAGCUAAGGUGCUGAAGCUACUUCAGGCAGGAAUCAUUUACCCUAUAUCUGAUAGCCCUUGGGUGAGUCCUACUCAAGUGGUACCAAAGAAGUCAGGGAUCACAGUGGUUCCGAAUGAAAAAGGAGAAGAAGUUACUACACGCCUCACUUCAGGUUGGAGGGUGUGUAUUGAUUAUAGAAAGUUGAAUGCUGUAACCAGGAAGGAUCAUUUUCCAUUGCCAUUUAUUGACCAAGUGCUGGAGAGAGUCUCUGGACAUCCAUUCUAUUGUUUCUUGGAUGGGUAUUCAGGGUAUUUUCAGAUUGAAAUUGAUGUGGCAGAUCAGGAAAAGACCACUUUUACAUGUCCAUUUGGAACAUAUGCUUACAGGAGAAUGCCUUUUGGUUUAUGCAAUGCACCUGCUACAUUUCAAAGAUGUAUGUUGAGUAUUUUCAGUGAUAUGGUGGAACGAAUUAUGGAGGUUUUCAUGGAUGACAUCACUGUAUAUGGAGGUACAUUUGAGGAAUGCUUAGUUAAUUUGGAAGCAGUUCUUCACAGAUGCAUUGAAAAAGAUCUGGUGCUCAACUGGGAGAAAUGUCAUUUUAUGGUACGUCAAGGAAUUGUCCUUGGUCAUAUCAUCUCUAAAAGAGGCAUUGAAGUUGAUAAAGCAAAGGUGGAGCUUAUUGUCAAAUUACCAUCCCCAACAACUGUAAAAGGAGUAAGGCAGUUCCUUGGCCAUGCAGGGUUCUAUAGGAGAUUUAUAAAAAGGUUUUUCAAGUCUUUCAAAACCUCUUUGUGAGCUGUUAGCUAAGGAUGCUAAAUUUAUAUGGGAUGAAAGGUGUCAGAAUAGCUUUGAUCAACUGAAGAAAUUUUUAACAGCAACUCCAAUAGUGAGAGCCCCUAACUGGCAAUUACCUUUUGAACUGAUGUGUGAUGCCAGUGACUUUGCUAUAGGAGCUGUGCUUGGCCAAAGGGAAGAUGGGAAGCCCUAUGUGAUUUACUAUGCAAGUAAAACACUGAAUGAAGCUCAAAGGAACUACACAACUACAGAGAAAGAAUUGUUAGCUGUGGUAUUUGCUUUGGACAAAUUUCGUGCUUAUUUAGUGGGGUCUUUCAUCAUUGUCUUUACUGACCAUUCAGCCUUGAAGUAUUUAUUGACAAAGCAAGAUGCAAAAGCAAGGUUGAUUAGAUGGAUUCUUUUGUUACAAGAAUUCGAUCUUCAAAUCAAAGAUAAGAAAGGAGUGGAGAAUGUGGUAGCUGACCACCUUUCCAGGUUAGUUAUAGCACAUAAUUCCCAUCCCUUGCCUAUUAAUGAUGAUUUUCCUGAAGAAUCACUCAUGUUCUUAGUGAAAACUCCUUGGUAUGCUCAUAUUGCUAAUUAUUUAGUAACUGGUGAAAUUCCAAGUGAGUGGAAUGCACAGGACCGGAAGCACUUCUUUGCCAAAAUUCAUGCUNNNNNNNNNNNNNNNNNNNNNNNNNNNNNNNNNNNNNNNNNNNNNNNNNNNNNNNNNNNNNNNNNNNNNNNNNNNNNNNNNNNNNNNNNNNNNNNNNNNNCCCUAACUGGCAAUUACUUUUGAACUGAUGUGUGAUGCCAGUGACUUUGCUAUAGGAGCUGUGCUUGGCCAAAGGGAAGAUGGGAAGCCCUAUGUGAUUUACUAUGCAAGUAAAACACUGAAUGAAGCUCAAAGGAACUACACAACUACAGAGAAAGAAUUGUUAGCUGUGGUAUUUGCUUUGGACAAAUUUCGUGCUUAUUUAGUGGGGUCUUUCAUCAUUGUCUUUACUGACCAUUCAGCCUUGAAGUAUUUAUUGACAAAGCAAGAUGCAAAAGCAAGGUUGAUUAGAUGGAUUCUUUUGUUACAAGAAUUCGAUCUUCAAAUCAAAGAUAAGAAAGGAGUGGAGAAUGUGGUAGCUGACCACCUUUCCAGGUUAGUUAUAGCACAUAAUUCCCAUCCCUUGCCUAUUAAUGAUGAUUUUCCUGAAGAAUCACUCAUGUUCUUAGUGAAAACUCCUUGGUAUGCUCAUAUUGCUAAUUAUUUAGUAACUGGUGAAAUUCCAAGUGAGUGGAAUGCACAGGACCGGAAGCACUUCUUUGCCAAAAUUCAUGCUUAUUAUUGGGAAGAGCCCUUUCUUUUUAAGUAUUGUGCAGAUCAGAUCAUAAGGAAGUGUGUUCCUGAAGAUGAGCAGCAAGGGAUUCUAUCUCAUUGUCAUGAGAAUGCAUGUGGAGGCCACUUUGCCUCUCAGAAAACAGCUAUGAAGGUGUUGCAAUCAGGGUUUACUUGGCCAUCUCUUUUCAAAGAUGCCCACAUCAUGUGUAGAAGUUGUGACAGAUGCCAAAGGCUUGGAAAGCUAACAAAAAGAAAUCAAAUGCCUAUGAACCCCAUUCUAAUAGUUGAGCUAUUUGAUGUAUGGGGCAUUGACUUCAUGGGACCUUUCCCAAUGUCUUUUGGUAAUUCUUACAUCUUGGUGGGGGUGGAUUAUGUUUCUAAAUGGGUUGAGGCAAUCCCCUAUAAACAAAAUGAUCACAGGGUGGUUCUCAAGUUUCUUAAAGAGAACAUUUUCUCAAGAUUUGGGGUGCCCAAAGCCAUAAUCAGUGAUGGAGGUGCUCAUUUUUGCAACAAACCUUUUGAAGCUCUGUUAUCCAAGUAUGGAGUGAAGCAUAAGGUGGCUACACCUUAUCAUCCUCAGACUUCCGGGCAAGUUGAGCUAGCUAACAGGGAAAUAAAGAACAUAUUGAUGAAAGUGGUGAAUUCCAGUAGAAAAGAUUGGUCUAUUAGGCUUCAUGAUUCAUUGUGGGCAUAUAGAAUAGCUUAUAAGACUAUUCUUGGGAUGUCUCCUUAUCUUCUUGUCUAUGGCAAAGCAUGCCAUCUCCCUGUGGAAGUUGAAUACAAGGCUUGGUGGGCAAUAAAGAAGUUAAACAUGGAUUUGGUCAGAGCCGGAGAAAAGAGAUAUCUAGACCUUAAUGAGAUGGAGGAAUUAAGAAAUAAUGCUUAUAUCAAUUCCAAAGUUGCAAAACAGAGGAUGAAGAAGUGGCAUGAUCAACUCAUCUCCAACAAGGAAUUUCAGGAAGGGCAAAGAGUUUUACUGUAUGACACAAGACUCCAUAUCUUUCCUGGGAAGCUCAAGUCAAGGUGGAUAGACCCGUUCAUUAUUCACCGAGUAUAUUCCAAUGGAGUGGUGGAAUUAUUGAAUUCAAAUGGCAAGGAUAGCUUUAGAGUCAAUGGAUAUCGUCUCAAGCCAUUCAUGGAUCCAUUCAAACCAGAAAAGGAGGAAAUCAACCUCCUUGAGCCUCGAAAAGCCUAAGCAAAGAAGGGUUUGCUGGACGUGGUUUACCACAGUCCAAAAUUUUUGUAAAUUUUGUAAAUUUUCAAGUUUUUUUUCCAUACAUUUGAUCUUAGUUUUUGAUCUUAAAUCAUGUUUUUAGGUGUGUUUUAAUCUUUUUGAAUGAUCCCAGGUGGAAGAAAUUGCAAGGAAAUUGAAAGGAAAAGAAUCGGAUAAAAAACAGAGCAAAAACAGAGCAAAAAACAGAGCUCUGCGAGAUUUCGCAGCCUCUGCGAAAUCAGCACUAUGCUGCAAAACCAUUCCGCAACACUUUGGAGUUCUCUGCGAGAAUUUUCGCAGCUGCGAAGGCGAUUUUGGCACACGAGUGCCACUUUGCAGCACAGGAGCCCUCAUUUGGCAGCUGCGAAACGCAUUGCGAAGUGGUAAAGCCUGAUUUCGCACCAAAAGUCCCAUUCCGCAGGGUAUUUUGCAAUUGCGAAAGCGAUUUUGGCACACGUGUGCCACUUCGCAGCACAGUAACAUUAAUUUCGCAGCUGCGAAAUGCAUUGCGAAGUUGCUGCGAAAAUGACAUUUUGCUGCGAAAUUGGCAUUUUGCUGCGAAACUCAAACUGACCCUUAGUCUUCCCUUAUUCCUAUUUAUACCGGUCAUUUGAGUUGCGAAAAGGGUUUCAAAAUCAGAGCGCGCCAUUCUCGCAGACCGUCCAUCUCCUUCUUCAAGCCUCACCGCGCAAGCCUCCGGUCAUCUUCUCCGACCAUCCGUUCCGGCCAAACUUCGGUAAUCCGAAAUGGCGCGAACAAGAGGGGCUAAGUCUCCAUCUCCUUCGAGCCGCAAGAGAAGCUUGCGAAAGGAACCAGUUCCAGAUCCUAUCCCUGACCCUCCGCAGCCGAAAGCAAUUCCUCCUCCGGUGAAGCCCGCGCUGCCAAAGCCUCCGGUAAAGCCCGCGCCGCCAAAACCUCCGGCAAAACGAUACCUAACCAGGUCAGGGGGUCGGCCACUGCAAAAGAAACCCAGGGUGGAGAGCUUAGAACCCAUCGAUUUGACUGAGCAAUCUCCAGAGCCCUCGCCGGCUCCAACUCCAGUUCCCUCGCCAAUUCAGCCUCCGGUGCCAUCUCCGACGCCGCAAGCAAAAUCUCAGGAGACUCAAGCGCCACUUCCCGAGCCCCAAAUUCCAUCUGAAAUAGCUCCGGAAGAAGUAAUCAGGAGGCCGAUGCUGACCCAGCUCCCAAUUGAGGGAAAUUUGGAUUGUAGAACUCGGCCAUUCCACUCCGAGCUAGGCUUUGACAUAUCUACAUUCCAAUUGCAGCCGGAGCUUGCACAGUCAUUCAACCUUCUAAGAAGGUACCAUAUGGAGCAUCUGCUGACUCCGAGAGACUUUUUCUACCCAAGGGUGGCCAUGGAUUUCUAUCAAUCCAUGACAACCAACCAGGUCAGGGAUCCAACUUUAAUUCAUUUCACUAUUGAUGGGAGGCAUGGCAUAUUGGGAGCACGCCAUAUAGCUGAAGCCUUGCAAAUUCCCUAUGAGCCGACCCAAUUCGAUAAUUUUAGAGCUUGGACCAAUCCUACUGAGCUGGAGAUGGUGCGCACCCUAUCCAGAGGAGCUGCCAAUCGAUCAUAUCUGUUGAGGGGGGAGCUUCCUCCAAUCAUGUUUUUGAUUGAUGCAUUUUUGCGUCAUAACCUCUACCCAUUGCAGCAUUGGACUCAAAGAAGAGGAGUCCUCUUAGAAGCCCUGUACAAGAUGUCUGAAGGAUUUUUCUUUGGGCCUCAUCAUCUGAUUCUGGCAGCCCUUCUCUAUUUCGAAGAGAAGGUACACAAAAAGAAGCUUCAGAGAGCUGAUUGCAUUCCCCUCCUCAUUCCAAGGCUGCUAUGCCAAAUUCUGGAGCACUUGGGGUAUCCUUCUGAACCUCAAUUGGAGCGCAAACGCAUUUGCCGUGAGCUUUUCACUCUUAACAAAUGGAACAACAUGACAGCUUAUCGAGUUGACCAGCCUGAGCGCCCACAGCCAGCUGUAAGGAGAGCAUCCCCACGACACAUACCUGAGGGUAUAACAGUUGCUGCUCCUGCCAUUUGCAGAGCUCCACCAGCUGCUCCAGCUUCAUCUCAGCCAUCCACUUCAGCUGAGCCGAGGAUGGCCAUACCCAUUUCUGAAUAUCGAGAGUUGUGCCGUGCAUUGCAGACCCUCACAGCUUCUCAGAGCAGUCUUGCUCAAGAGAUGGCAGCCAUUAGAGCAUGCCAAGAGCAGAUGUUGGCCACUCAGGCUCAACAAGCUGCCAUCUUAAGGCAGCUCCAGCUUCAUUUCAACCUGCCACCAGCUGUUGAGCCCUCCACUUCUACUCCAGCAGAGCCACACUCUCAUCCCUCAGAGCCUCAAGCCCCAGCUGAAGCACCAACUGAAGAGGCAGAUCCAUCUGCCUAGCCCCAGCACCACCCACUCAUCAGAUCAUUAUAUAUAUAUCUACUAUCUUUGUUUUAUGUAUUUCGUUUUUUAGUUUGAAAGAAAUCCCAUUAUUUUGGUAUUAUAUUUGGGAUUGCUUGUAUUACUUUUCUUUUGCAUUGUACUUAAAUGGAUUCAAAGUAAUACAAGUUUAAUAUUUCUUGUUAACAGUUAGCAUUAAGUUAUCCUUAUUUCCUUUUCUCACAUAUUCUAUUCUUUUUGAAACAUGUGGUUUCUCCAAUUAGUAUGCGAAUUUGAUAUCACACAGGAGGUACCACUUCCUCCCUUUAAUUACAGUCACUCAUAUCACAUUGAGGACAAUGCUCAGUUCGGUUGGGGGGAAUGAGGAAGGAAGUUAUGCUAAAUUAAAGGAAGUAUGCUAAGCCUUUUUAGUAAUGCAAUUAUUUUGGUAAAUUAGUUGUAGUUUUUGUUUUUUACUCUUUUUACUCUAUUCUCCAUGAAUCUUGAGGAAAAAUUUUCAAAUUAAAACAGGAAAAAUUGAACUGUUGUUUUUCACUUGACUUAGAGUAUGGAUUAUGCUCACUAAAGUGGUUCAAUUGUUGAAGCUUCUAUUGAAAUUGAAUUUAGUUCUUCCACUUUAAGCUAUUCACACACUGUGCACAUUAGAUUCCGAUUAUAAGAUGAAAAACUAUUUCCCUCUUGACUUAGGAUAAUUUUGGGACUUGGUAUAUUUGACCUCAUUUGAUAAAAAUUGAAACACCCUGCAAAAGGCCAAUGAGCCUUUGAAAUAAAGAAAGUUGUUUGCUUGCCUUAAAACCCGAGCAAGGUCUGAGAGGUAUAUGGUGAAAAUCUUUGAAGCCUGGUGCCCUAAGCCUUAAUUGGUUGGGAGUCACCGACCUCAAUGCUCGUUACAAGGGUGAAUAGGUAGAGUAGCAUAUGGUAGGUGCUUGGGUAUUAAAAAUUCAUUCUCAAAAGUCCGGGGAAAAAUCCGAGGAGUUAGUGGUUGAAAGAUCCUUAAAGCUUGGUGCCCUAAACCUUAAUUGGUUGGGAGUCAUCGAUGGACCCCCAUUACAUGGACAAUACAGAAAGAGUACCCCAUAAGUUCUUUGUUAAAAAAAAAAAAAAAAAAAAAAAAGUGUGUUCUUUCUUUAUUGAUUUUGGUCAGUUUGCUAAGUGUUGAAAAGAGAUAGGUUGGGGGGAGAGAUUAGUUUAGCAUAUUAUUCUCGGAAGCUAAGGAACCAAUACACAUAGAUUUUUGAGGAAGAAUAAAGUUUGGUUCUUUGAAAGUGGAAAUGAUUUUAAAACUUCAGUUUGCAUAAUGCAUUCCCUUGUUUGACAGUGUUUAGCAUAGUUUGUUAUAACUCUUGUUGAAAUUUGCUUUUAUAUUUCUUUAAGGUUUCAUGAGAGAAUUAGAUCAUCAUGCCACUUGAGAAUUGUUUUUGAUCAGCAUGAUGUUGUAAAUUAUAGUUUAAUUUGUUGUUUAUUUUCAUUUUUCUCUCCUAUAUUGCUAAGGGACUAGCAAUAUGUCGGUUGGGGGGAGUGAUUACUACUCAAAAAGUGCUAUUUGAUAGCUUAUAAUUAAUCCUUUUAAACACUUUUGAGUAGUAGUUUUGGCCUUUUAACUCAAUUGGCAUGUUAAGGACCCUUGAAAACAAUUUUAAUCACUUUGUGUAAGUUUUGGUGUUUUUGUUAGUAUUUUGAUCACCAAAGCAAUUCAAGAUUGAGGAGAAUUUUGAGGAAUCUUGGGCAAAGCUUGGAAGUCAUUUGCCAAGAGUAAAUCCGAAGUGCAAGGAGAAAAAGUAAAGAGAAUCUGCCAUGAAGCAUAUUCUUGAUGACAGUCGUGGCAGCCACUUUUGGAGCACUUUCUGAAGUCCAAUUGAUGCAUGCUAUAUACCAUUUCAAAGCUCAGGAAGUCAAUAAUCUAAUGCUUCAAACGGUGCGCAAUUUGGAGUUGAAACGAAGAAGUUGCAGCCAUUGCAAGCCAAUCACUCCAAGCUGAAGGAAGCAUUUUCCAAAGUGUUGCGAAAUCACCCUUUUGUUGCGAAGUGAUUUCGCAGCAUUUUUGUACAGUAUGAUGUAUUUCCUCCUGAAGUUGCCCGAUAUAUGCCGCAAGCUGGAAGCUGAGAGCAUCAAGGUGGAAGCCAACUUCGCAGCCCUGCGAAGAUAGCAUGUUGUUGCGAAAUGAUUUCGCAGCCCUUCUUGAGUGUCUGCGAAAUCUCACAGACACCAUUUUCUCUUGCGGAAUGGUUCCUGGAGCAUCCCGAUAUUUGCUAUCGACAUUGGGAGAUAUUUUACAUCAGAUUUUUGUUGUCUAAAUCCCAAAAUACUCCUUGUAAGCCACCAAUUACAAGAUUCCUUAGCUUUUAAGUUAGUAAAAAGAGAAAAUAUCUAUGUAAUAAUUAGUUUUAUAUUAUGUUCAUAUAAAUACCUCUCGGGAGCCUGUUCUCAGAGAGAGCCUUUUGUAAAGUUUUGGGUAAGCAAGUAAAGUUCAGUUCUUUGUAUUACCUUACCUUCUCACUUUGUAUAUUUUAUUUUCUUACUAAGUUAUGAACUCUCUGAGGAGUUUUCCCCAGAGAAUGAGUAACUAAACCUCUAAUUCCUUGGAGCUAAGGUUGCCGGGGAAGGUUCCAAGUGCAAGAAUGCAAAGCUUUGUGGUUUUAGCUAGUAAUGAAGAGGAAGUGAAAUCCUUUAGUGAUUUCUAUGUUUUUAGUUAACUUAAAACACCUUAGAGUCAUCUGGGCCAACACUUGGUAAGGCAAGUGAUUUCCAACCAUGGAAAUGCACUAGUUUACCCCUUACGAGCCUCUGGAAGGUGACUUUAGGGUAGGAUUUUCUAGAAUAGCCAACACUUGGUAAGCUUUUGGACUCCAAGGAGACAUCCAUUAGUUAUCUCUUGCGAGCUUUUGAAGGGAAGUCCAAGGUUAAAGAUCAUCUUGAAUGGUAAGUGCUCGUGAGAGGCAUGAACCAUUGCAAGUUGUAUCAAUGAGAGAAUUAAAGUUGAAAUCCAAUUAAAGGAUGUAUCUGUACAACACCGGUUAGAGAAUUGACUAUAUGUUGAAUCUCUAACGCGAAGAAAGGAACCAUCUGACCGAAGCUAUGUCUUUUGCAUGAGGAACCACCCCAGUGAACCUAACUCUCCAAGGAAUGCUUUUCUUCCUAAGUUAUUCCGAGUACUUGUUAUGUUAGUUAGUUUAAAUCUUUACCAAUCAAAGUUUGUGUUUUAUUUCUUAAGCUAACCUUGAAAUGAAACAAGACCAAUUCACUUGGAAUUGGUAUCAUUGAUAGCUUGCUAAUCCUUCCCAGUGAACGAUCCUAGAGUCGCUAUACUAUAGUAACUUUUUCUUUGCUACCCUAGUAUAUGGUGUUAUAGGUUAUAAAUUUUGUUGAUUACUCCCUCUAUCAAGAAGCACCAGCUAGACACGAAUCAGCUGAGACACCAAUUGGGCACGAAUCAACAACUAACAACCUAUUAACUACUUAACAACUCUAACUAACAUCCAACCUCAAGCACAUAGGGUGAGAAAGAACUAUGAGCUUGCUCUAGAGAUGAAGGAAAUGCUGAGUGGAGAGAGCUUUGGUUAAGAUAUCAACAGCUUGGUCUCCAAAUGGAAGAAAUCAAACAUCAAAAGUUUUCUACGGGACUCAUUCUUAAACAAAAUGAUAAUUAAUUUCCACAUGUUUAGCCCGAGAAUGAAGGACAAGAAUUACAGCCAAAUAACAUGAACUAAAACAGGGGAACAAAGGGCUCUUUAAGAAAGGAUUGAAUCUAAGUGAGUACGACCGUUGCAUUGGCCAAGCCCCUAUACUCGGACUCGGUAUAAGAGUGUGAACCACCUUUUGUUUAGAAGCUGACUAAGAGACCAGAUUACCACAAAAAAAAAACAAAAAAAAAAAACAAAACACAGUAGCCACUAGUGCUACGUCUAUCAUUAGGGCAAGAUACCCAAUCGACAUUUGUAUAAGCAACAAGAUUGAGUGAGGAAGAUGGUUGGAAAAAAAAAACCCAUAAAACAACAAACCUUUGAGAUAACAAAUAACAUGCUUCAUAUCUUGAAAAUGAGUAGAGGUUGGAGCAUGCAUAAAUUGGUAAAUCUUAUUAACAGUAUAAGGAGUGUUUGGUCUAGUGAUUUUGCAAUACUGAAGGGCACCUACAAGACUCUAAUAGAAAGUGGGAUCCUCUAAUUUGGUACCAUCAACUAUGAAUAAAACAAGACCAGUAGCCAUUAAAGAAGCAACAAGCUUUGAUUCCAACAAAUCAACAUGCUGAAGAAGAUCACAAAUGUAUCUAUCUCGGCUUAAAUGCAAAGAAAAUCCAAAAUUGAGCACCUCUAUUCUAAGAAAGAAAUUGAGAGGACCAGAUUCUUGAGAGCAAAGCAAGAGUUUAAGGAAGAUAUAAGUUGUUCAAUGAGCAAGGAAUUUGAAUUAGUGACAAUAAUAUCAUCGAUAUAAACUAAGACAACAAGCAUGAUAGAAUUGUUAUGGUAACCAAACAUUGAUGUAUCUACUUAAGAUAUGGAAAAACCCCAUUUAAAUAAUGCAGAAUUCAGUUUCGUGAACCAAGCCCAUGGAGUUUGCUUCAAGCCAUACAAGGCCUUGGUAAGCUUACAAACAAAAUUGGGCUUAGAAGGAUCCACAAAACCCGGGGGUUGUAUCUAAAAACUUGCUCAAAUAAAUCACCAUUAUGAACAUCAAGUUGUUGGAUAGACCAAUUUCUACUCAAUGCCAAAGAGAGAACCACACUAAAGGUUUAACCACAAAACUAAAGGUUUCAAAGAAAUCAAAACUGUGAGUUUGAUGGAAUCCUUUCACCACUAAAUGUGCCUUAUAACAAUCAAUAGUUCCCUUAGGUUUAAACUUCAAUUUAUAAACCCACUAACAUCCAAUGGUAUUCUGAUUAGACGGAGGAGGAACCAUGACGUAUGUUUUAUUUUUCAUAAGAGCUUCAAAUUCAAGAUGCAUAGCCUAUUGCCAUUCAGGAACUUUAGCAGUUUCCUUAAAGGAAUCUAGUUCACAAAGUGGAGGAAAAAUAGUCUUAGUAGGAGACAAAUAUAACUUGAGUUCGAAAAUGCCAUUUUUGGCACGUAUUAUCAUGAGAUGACAAGGAGUAAGAACAUAAGAGGAAAGAGGUUGGGUUGUUGGAAUUGCUGUAACCUUAGAAAAGGAAAUUGACACACUAGAAUUAGAUAUUGGAACCAACUUUGAAGGUGGACAUAAUGGGGGAGGUAAGAGGGAAGGUAUUGGAGAUGAUGGUACUACCAAGGGAAUGACACAAUGAGAGGGGGAAACAGAAUAAGAAGUUUGAACUAUGGAAGACUUAGCAAAUCGGAAAUCUAGUUCAUAAAAAAUAACAUGUCGUGAUAUAUGUAUUUUAUGAUUGGACAUGUUUAAAUAAAGAUAUCCUUUAUGCUUAGAACUAUAGCCAAUAUUUUAACGGAUUGAUAUGCAAGUUUAUGACAAUUAAAAUGAUGUAGAAAAGGAUAACAAAUGUAGCCAUAGACAUGAAGAAAAUAAUAAUUUGGUAGACAAUGGUAAAGAGUCUUAUACGGAUCGAGAAGAGAUAUUCAACAUAGAGGUAGGAAGUCUAUUAAUCAAAUAUAAGGUAGAUUGGAAAACAAAAGGUCAAUAUUUAAGUGGAAUAGAAGCACGAGCAAGCAAAGAAAGACCUAUUUCAACCACAUGUCUAUGUUUUCUCUCCACAUGACCAUUUUGUUGAAAAGUAGAUGGACAAGAUAUUCUAUGCAGAAUCCUAAAUUUACAUAAAGUAUCAAUAAAGGCUUGAAACUCCCCUCCCUAAUCAGUUUGAAGCACUCUUAACUUUAGUGUCAAAUUGAGUCUCAGUUAUCACUUUAAAUUGCAAAAAAACAGAGAUAGCUUGAUUUUUAAAAGCUAGUAGAUACAACCCCAAGAAAAUCUUGUAUGGUCAAUUGGAAAAAAGUACAAAGUAUCUUGCAUCAUUAGCACCAACAAUAACGGUAGGACCCCAUAGAUCAAAAUGUAUAAGAGCAAAAGGCUAAGAGACUCUGGAUUUAGACAAAGUAAAAGGUAAGUGAUGACUCUUUGCCAUUUGACAAGGUUCACAAAUACCUAUCCAAUGUUCUGAGGGCAUACUACAAUCACUCAAAACUUUAUUCACUAUUUUACGUGCAAGAUGGCCUAAUUAAAAUGUCAUAGAGCUACCUUAUUGGGAAGUUGUAAUGCAAAUAACAUACACGGGACCUCAAUUGCCAAGCUUGUUCUUCUAACAAUUUUAUUACCUUUAGAAUCUAUAUUUUUUUUACCAGAAACUGAAGAUGACAAUUUGUAUAAACCAUGGUUAAGGUUGCCUUGGAGAAGAGCCUUCUUUGAAGCUUGAUCCUUCAUCACAAAUCCAUUAGUAAAGAAUUCCAUAGUAACAUUAUUGUUAGUACACAACCUAUUCACACUUAUCAAAUUGGUUGUAAGUUGUGGAACAUGUAGAAUAUUCUUUAGAUUUAAAGACUGAGAAACUGACAAAAUAGUAGAGUAUCCAAUAUUUGAGAUAUUUAAGCAACUACAGUUUCCAACGACAACUUUGUCCAAACCAGCAAAUGGAGUAUGUGCAUUCAAGUUCUUGAAAUUUAAAGUUAGGUGAUAUGUAGCUCUAGUAUCCAUGUACCAACUUCCAUCUGCAAUAGUGGCCAGAGUUGCAAUCAUUGCAGCAAGAUGAGGUUACUCAAUUCUUAGGGUUCUUUUUCCUCAUUGGUUUUUGACUCGGAUGAGUUAACUUAGUUCCUAGAGCUCUUCCUCAAUGACAAACAAUUUUGAUUAGAGUGUGGCAAGGAGUUCAAUGAGCAAGCUGGUGAUUGAUCAAGGCCUCACUAGUGAUGAGGACGUCGGUGAUAGCAACAAUCUAGUUGGAGAAACGAUUUUUUCCAACACCCUCAAACACCGCAAAAAUGAUCAUAUCGUCAUCAUGAUCUUAGAUAAGAGAAACUUAAAGUUUUGUUUAUUCCAAUUUCAAAUUGAAAACAAAAUUGUAGAGCACUAGAUACAAAAUAAAAAAAAAAUAAAAGAACGAAAAAUCACUAUAGAAACCUUAGAAAACACACUAGGAAGAAAAAUCAUAGACAAACUCACAGAAGAAUUUUAUGGCUUUAGGAGUUGGAGCCGGAGUUGGAGAAGAGUCUUAAUGGACAUUGAGGAAGGACAAGAAGAGGUGUUCAACUAUAAUUUAUGUAGGCUAUAUUGUAAAGGUUGGCUUUAAAAUGUAUCUAGUAGCGACCUAAUUAGGGUUCAAAGUAUCGGCCAAGUCUGAUACGACUCGGCCGAGUCAUAUCUGUCUCGACACUUGUCGCAACGAGACCGAUACCAGAUACAAUAUAAUGCAUGAACUCGACUGGGAAUCGGUUAGACUUUGCUAAGUUUUCGAGUUAACUCGGUUGACUCGGUUAGGUUAUAAAGAAUUUUCAAAUUUUUCAUAAAAUUGAAAAUAAUAAUAAUAAUAAAUCAGAGAUUGCCCUUUCAAAAGCAAACACCUAUUUUAAAAUUUUAAACCAUCAAUGAGAAGAUCAAAGAAGACCAAGAAGAAAAAACCUAACCUGUGACUCGUUCGGAAAUAAGUGGAGAAACCACCAAAGGAUGAGGGCAUAAUUUAGGAUUUACUUACUUGAUUUUCCUCAAAAUCGAGCAUUACCGAAGGGUGGAGCUUUGGUGUCGGCGAUGGUGACUCAUCAAGUGGAUUGAAUCUUUCACCGGGGACAUCAACAAGACAACCCCCUCAUAGUCAGAUUGCUCCCCCUCCCGUGUUAGGUCUUGCACGGUUGCAAAUUUGCGAUUGUAGGUGGUAUCGUCUAUUUUGGGUCUUGACAGUAAUGAUGACGUGCGAGGGUGGGAGAUUGGGAGCUUAAAUUAGUAAAGUAAAAAAUUGCAUUUUAUAUGGAUUUACAUGGAGAAUUGAGUCCCUGAUUUACAUGGAAAAUACCUUUCAUAUACACACUUUAAUAUGAUUUAAUAGUAACAUAUUAGGAGAAUUGAGUACCCGAUUUGCUAAAGUAAAAUGAUAUGAAAGGUAUAGAUGAAGUUUAAUGAUAAAUUAAAGUGUUUAUAUAGCAAAGUGAAAAUUAAAUCCUCAAUUUUUAAUAUUAUCACAAAAUAACUUUGAGCUAAAUGUGAAAAAAAAAUGGUUUUAUUAAAAUUUUCACCUUAUUUAAUUAUAUCUAUUUUAUUUUUUGAUUUAUAUAAUAUUUUUAUAAUUUUUUGAAAAUUUUAAUUAUCUUAUUUUACGUAUCGUCCAAUACCGAACCGAAACACUGAAACCAAUAUGCCUCGUGAUCCUCCGAGUCAAUGAUCGAUACCACGACUUUGAACCAUGGACCCAAUGGAAGUGGAGUCUAUAGGAACAUCUAUGGUAACGAUCCAAAAAUUAUUGCAGGCAUAAGAGAAUAUAUAAUAGCACUUUCAACAGUAAUCAUGACUAUGUAUCUUUCCUGGAAAUUUCCCACCAAUCCCAAUCCCAACCCCUUUAGAUGCAUGUGGUUGGAAUAUGCAUGAAGCUAUAUAUUACGUGGUUGGGAUAUGAAUGAGGCUAUAUACUAUUUUUAGUUGUGGAUUUUCUUAGCCCCUACUAAAACUAUGUCGCCAUUUCCUAUUCUUCUUGUAAUGUCAAGUUGGAAAGUUAAAUUUAAUUUAAAAACUUUCUAAAUAUUAAAUUUAGAGUUAGUUUCUAAAUGUUAAGGAGAACAUUUUAUUUUGAAUGAUUAUUUAGUUUUUGUAUUUGAGUAUUCAAGUCCUGAAAGGUCUCUAUAUUUCAUUAUUAAGAUUUUCUAUUUAGACAAAUGUGAGUAUAUUUAUAAACAAAAAAUUAUAUAAUAUAUACAUUUUUUAUAAAAAAAAAAAGCAAUAAAAUACAAUAAAAUUUUAAUUCUCUCCUAUUUUUAUCUUUUUUAUAAGUGUGUGUUUAUCUUUCAUCUAGAUAACUCACACAAUACUAACACAAUGAGAGUAAAAGGAGAAGGGCAAUAAAGAGUUGGGGCCGGAGAUCAUUGGAGGAACGGGUCAACUGUAGGCCGGUUGUCAAUGGGCUCAUAUAAGUAACAAAAAUUGGAAAUGGUUUCUAUAUCUUAGUGUCGUGUCUAGAAGACGACAAUCUACCUGUCAGUGUGCAGCAGAAGAGAAAGCGUGAUAUCUACUUAGAGUCAAAACAAAGGGAACCAGCUCGCAAUUCCUCCGAUACAUCAUUACCGACGUCAUAGCUCUAUUCCCCCAAUUCGUCACUACCAACGUCAUUCUAUCUCCAUUACGCAUUAUUUAAAGAGUCCCCAUGCAGAAGCUGUUCGAAACACAAGUCAGCUUUGACACAACCCCACUUCAUUGUGAUAACCUAUCCGGCACAGGUCCCUGUCCAAAGACCCAUCUUACUCUUUACAUUGUGGCCACUGAUUUGGUAUCUAAUCUCAGGCAAAAUUCACUGGUUUGAUGAAGGUUAUAGAACAAAACUUGUGUUAUUCUUAUCUUUGGUUUUGAUGAACUUUAAAGCAUUUAAAAAGAUUCAACUGGUAAGAAGUAUUUUUGCCUUGGGAAGAUGUUGGUUAUGGAUUAAAAGCAAAAAAGACCCUUGUACAUAUUUUUGGGUACCUGUCAAGCAAAUUAAUGCACAUCCGAACAUCACAACUGUUGUCUCUUAAAUUCUUCCAAUUGACCUGCUUUCGUCUUAUUGAGCGUCUGGGUUACUUGAUAAUGCAAAAACUCAUACAGUUAUUUCGAUAAAUUAAGAGCCUCGGGCAUCAAGGAAAAUCUAUUAUUACUUAAUCGAUAAAUUAAUAAUUUAUUAAUUUAAUUGCUUAUUAAUGAGAUCUCUUGAAUAAUUCUAUUAUGGAACAAGACACCAUAACAAUAUUAAAUAAAUUUUUGUCAUAGUAUGAGAAUACCACACUAGAUGUAAUAUGAGAAUGUCAUAUUUAAUUAGGGCCUUGGCUUAAAAUAAGUAAAUAAAUAAUUAAUAAUUAAAAUAUAAAUACUAGACUCACAUUUUAAACAAACACUUCUAAACUCUCAGACUCUACAAAGAACAUACACAAAGAAAUCUAGGUUCCAGAUUUGAGUGAAGAGAAAGAGAAUUUGAUUUUUUUUGUUCUUUUGUGAAAAUUUCAUGGUAAGUGAUACUUCUUAAAGUUUUCUUUUUUUUUUUUUAUAGUUUUUCUUCUUAGAAACUUUAAUUUCCUAAUAAGAUUAAAAAAGAAUUAAUGAAAACAAGAAAUUAAGAAAAUAAAUUGAAAGUAGUUAAAUCUAGAAUGAUAGAAUAAUAAUAAUAAUAAUAAUAAAAACAAUAGAAAGUUUGAUGUGUUAUUGCCGAAACCUAGAGGAAAAUUCUAUAUGAAAUAGUGGAGUUUAUGUUUUUUUUUUAAUAUAUAUAUAUAUAUAUAUAUAGGAUUUUUGGGAGAAAUAGGUAUCCAUGUAAAUAGAAAUUCUUAUGUGUAGGAGAUAAUAAUUGUAUUAAAAAAAAAUUAAUAGACUAAAACCUGGAGAUUGGUAUUCAUACAGUAAGAUUCCAAGUAUAUAGAAAGUAGAAUUACAUGGAACCUAAAAUUUGGUGCACAAUGUGAUUCUUUAUUUAAAACAAAUAGAAUUUAGUGCAUAGUAGGAUUCCUUGUUCAAAUGAAAUAGAAUUUGUUGGGAGAUACAUGGACUAAUAUUAAUUGUGAAGUUAAGAUGUAUUGUGUAUUGGUGUGAUACUGGAAGUGCAUGAGACAAACUUUUGGAGUGUUGGUAUAGGAAAUAAAGUUUUUUUAAAAAAAACUAAUCUAAUAUAAAAAUAUUGGAGGCCUCGAAUUUUAUUAUGUUAGGAUUCCAUAAUGAAUUAAAUUAAAUCAAAUUAAAUUAAUGUAAUUUAGAUUAGAUUAAUUAUAAGUGAGGGAAUUGAAAAGUUCAAGACAAUAAUUUCAAGACAAUUAAGAAAUGGAAAUUUGAUGUUUUUCCUAGAUAAAUGAAUAAUUUAUAUAUGUGUUACAAAACUAUACAUAUUUAGAAUAUAAUUAUUAUUAGAACAUUUGUUUAAAGAACCCUUAGAAUUUCUCAGGUAAUUCUUAGGAAAUUCUACUGCUUUAAUAUUUGGAGUUUGAGUCCAAUUAAGGGGACUAACUAAAUUUUUUUUUUUAUUUUAUAAAUAGUCAAAUAUAAUUUUCUUUUGAAAGUUUUAAGAAAUUGGAAAAUAAUUUUGUUAUAUUGUAUAUGUUUGCUUACACGUGUGAUAUGAAUUUUUUUGUUUAAAAGAAAAAAAAAAUUAGGACUAGUAAUCUAAUCCUUGUUAAUAAAGGAAAGUGUUUUGACUUUCAUUACCUUUGGUGAAGGUAAUGAUAAUUUGUAAACCCAAUCAUUAGAUUUGUCCUGGCUCCGCCCACCAUCAUGUAAGGAACACAUGAGGUUAGCUAUUUCUAUUAGUCUCAUUACAAUGGGCACCUCUCUAAGUCCAAAUUUUGAUGGGCAUUUUCUGUAAAAAGUUAGAAUUGUUCAUUUAAUAUGUUUGCAAAAUAAUGUUAUGCUUAAAUUAUUUUAAAAAUGACACAUGUAAUAUUAGUUGUUUUGUUGUGUUUAAAAGCAUGCUAUAAAGAUUCCUUAUUUCAUUUUUGGAAACACGCAUACUUGAUUUUCAUACCCCUCAUCGGACUUUAAACUCACUCCUUUUACUAAAAUGUUUUUAGAUAUACAUCUAAUUCUAGCAAUGAGUGAUUCGAGUAAGAGGGUUUUUCAUAGAUCCAUUUAGUUCUUAGUUUUAAGUUUAAUGUCAUAAUAACAUUUUGUUAUUAUAGUUUAAUUUAUCAUUACUAUUUUAGAUAAUAUGUUAUAUUUGAAUUAUAGAUUUCGUGCGAAAGAAUAAUUUUUUAUUAUUUCUUUGAAGAUAUAUGAUCAUUUUGAAAGUUUGCUUCUAAAAUGACCUUGGUGUUUAGCUUACGGGUCAGUAUCGUUAUACUAGACCUUCUAUUUGUAUUAUGAAACUACAUAGAUUUUUCCAUAAUAUAUUAUAUUAUAAAUUUAUCAAAUUAUUAGUUUAGCAUGAUGGCCCUAGGUUCAUAUUGAUUAAAAAAUUAUUUAAUUGAGGUUCUCUAUUAAUUAAAUAUUAAUUUAAUUGUCAGAUACUCUUAUUAUUAUUAUUUUUUAUAAAAUAUUCAAAAAUAUUCUUUGUUAUAUCUUUAACUUAAAAAUAUUUUAAAAAAAACAAGAAUAAAAAAACAUCACCAAACAAGCCCUUAUUUAUUUGUUUGUUUUUUAUGUUUUGUUUGCUAUUGUGGUUUUGUUUAGUUGUCAAGAAGUGUGAGACAGUUGAAGAAAUUGAAGUUUUUUUUUUAUAUAUAUAUUUUUUUAAUAGUAUAGGCAAAAAUUCCAAAGGUUUGAAUUGCUUCAAUUUGUUUGUUUGACUUAUGAGAAAAGGUGGGACAAAUACUUCAAUGAGUUUAUAAUCAUCAGUAGUUAACUUACUUCUCUAUCGAAAUGGUUUAAUCAUUCACACUUAAAUUAAAAGCUGGAUUAUCAAAUCCAUUUCCCUUCAUGGAAACUAGUAACUUGAUCCAUCUACUGGUCAUUUAUGGCUUGAGGUCUUGUGCCAUGCACUCUUAAGUUGAUUUCUAGCUAGAAGUCGUAGUGGUAGGGUAUUCAGGAAUCCUUGUCAUAAAAUGUUGUAAAAUUUAUUUUGUGCAAAUUGUUAAGCUACAACUCAAACCAAGGAGUUAUAUACCAUCUAGAUUGCUUGGAUGAAGAAUAUAGACCAAAUCUAUGUAUGUAUGAUAGUUGUUAAUAGGUAGCAAUAGUGGAGUUAAGCUUCAUAGGAUACUGUUUACUGAUAAAGUUUACAUCUUAUAUAGGAUGGAACGAGUUUUUGAACUUUUGUUAACAUAGAAAAACUAAUUGGGUUAGAAUUCUGGCAUAGGUUUUUGCUAUGGUGAAUCAAACAUUCGGGGGACAUCUACCUAUGACACUCCCAAGACAACUAAUUAGUUCUUCACUAGAAUGAGAUGAUCGAUCUCUAUUUGAGCAAUUGGUUAGAUUAAUCCGAUAACUUUUUUUUUAAUUCUCCCAAUAAGAAAACCUUUCUUAAUUAUUCCAACAUGAGAAAUUUUUUUUCUACCUAUGGUUUUUUCAAUGACUAAAUAUAUUUAUUCCUUAGUAUCUAGUACUUUAAGAAAAACAAAAGUUAAAUUGAUUUUAUCAAAAUCUAAAACUUAAUUAAGUCAGAUAAUUAAAAUAUAAUUAAUUGAAAGUUAUCUUAAGCACAUUAAAUUUUACCUCUUACCACCUAAAAUGAUUUCAAAUUUUAUAGUUGUGAUAGAUCCAAGUUGUCCGAAAAGGUCUAUAGAAUAUGCAUUCUUUUACUUAUAAACAAUGUCUUAAAUAGUCGAGGUAGAGUUAUAUAGGGUCAUGGAUUUCUUAUUUUAUUCGAUGUGGGAAAUCAUAAUACACACUUAUCUCCUGUGAAGAGGGACCGUAACCAGGUUGGCUCAUAUAAAAUAACUAAAUUGGAAAUUGGUCUCUAGAUCUUAACUUUGGGUCGCGUCUAGAGGACGACAAACUACCGGUCAGUGUACAGCAGAAGAGAAAGUGAGACAGGAUACUUAUACAUCUCUUGAAAUUAAUUAGUCUUUGAGUCAAAACAAAGAGGAAGCAGCUCACAAUUCCUCCAAAACAUCAUUGCAAACGUCAUAGCUCUGUUUCCCCAAAUUCGUCAUUACAAACGUCAUUCCAUACUCUGCCUUCCUUAUUUAAAGAGUCCCAUGCAGAUGCAGAUGCAGUUCGAUACACAAGUCAGAUUUGAUCAUCCUCUACAUAGACCCAACCGAAGUAUCUCCACUUCAUCUUCUUCCCCUACAAUGACACAACCCCACUUCAUUGUGAUAACCUAUCCCGCACAAGGCCACAUCAACCCUUCUCUCCAACUGGCUAAGCGCCUCAUACGUGCUGGUGCCCAUGUCACAUUCGUCACUAGCACCUAUGCCAGUGAGCGCAUGACCAAAACCCCCACCAUGGAUGGUUUAAAAUUUGUCACAUUCCCGGACGGCUGCGACAGUGGCCUCAAGCAAAGCGAUGCCCUCCAAGGCUUCAUGUCUGAGCUUGAGCGUCUUGGCUCCCAAGCUCUUACCGACCUCCUCAUAGCCAGCGCUAAUGAAGGUCGUCCCGUUACUUGCAUAAUCUACGGCAUCCUGAUUCCUUGGGUAGCAGAGGUGGCGCAUAGUCUUCACAUCCCCUCCGCACUUUUUUGGAGUCAACCUGUCUCUGUUUUUAAUAUCUAUUAUUAUUAUUUUUGUGGCUAUGGAGAGGUCAUUCGCAAGAAAGUCAGUGACUCCUCGCCUUCCAUUGAAUUACCAGGACUGCCCUUGCUCGGUAGCCGUGACAUUCCCUGUUUCCUACUCCCCUCAAAUGCAAAUGAAUACAACUUUGUCCUUUCAGCGUUUCAGAAGCACGUAGAGAUGCUCCACCGUGACACCAACCCAACGGUACUGAUAAACACUUUCGAUGCAUUGGAACCAGAGGCCCUAAGGGCCGUCAGUAAGUUUAAGUCGAUUGGAGUUGGACCCUUGUUUCCAACCGCUUUCUUGGGUGGAAAAGAUCCAUCCGAUACUUCAUUUGGAGGUGAUCUGUUCCGUCGUUCAAAGGAUUAUAUUGAAUGGCUGAACUCAAAGCCUGAAUCUUCUGUCAUUUAUGUGUCAUUUGGAAGCCUCGCGGUGUUAUCGAAGCAACAGUCAGAGGAGAUUGCUCGUGGAUUGCUGGACAGUGGCCGGCCUUUCCUGUGGGUCAUAAGAGCCAAGGAGAAGGGAGAAGAGGAGAAAGAAGAAGAUAAACUAAGUUGCUACGCAGAAUUAGAACAACAAGGUAUGAUAGUACCAUGGUGUUCUCAGGUUGAGGUUCUCUCAAAUCCAUCACUGGGUUGUUUCGUGACUCAUUGUGGGUGGAAUUCAACCUUGGAGAGCUUGGCUUCUGGGGUGCCAGUUGUGGCAUUUCCUCAGUGGACCGACCAAUCCACGAAUGCAAAGCUAGCCGAAGACGUGUGGAAAACGGGUGUACGGGUGACCGUGAACCAAGAAGGAAUAGUUGAAAGCGAUGAGAUUAAGAGGUGCUUGGAAUUGGUCAUGGGAGAUGGAGAGGAGGCGAAAGAAAUGAGAAGGAAUGCAAAGAAAUGGAAGGGUUUGGCAAGGGAGGCUGUGAUGGAAGGUGGAUCAUCUGACAAGAAUCUUAAGAAUUUUAUGGAUGAGGUCAUACAAGGUUACUAGCUAGAUAUUGUGGUUGUAUCUCUUGGAGUUUAUGUUAAGACUCCCCGAUUAAUUUAAAUAUUUUACAAGAAGAUUUUUAUUAUUUAUGAUGUUAAUACAAGUAGUAGUAUUAAUUAAUGGUAGAGGGCAUAUCUAAAAUUAUGGGAGAUUCAUUGCUUCCUGAAGGCCCUAUCACAAAGGAUCUGUCAAAUGCGUGGCUAAGGUGCUGUUUGGUAAAUGUCCGUUACCAGCCAAAAUUUUGCAAUUAUUGCUAAUGGGAAUCAGGGAAACCCCAAACUGGCCUUGAUGGUCCUUGCGUGAAGACCCAUCCAAUUCUUUACAUUGUGGCCACUGAUUUGGUGUCUUAUCCUCUCAUGCCCAUCACUUCAUGUUUACAAAUUGAUAUUGUAUUCAUAGCUAUUUUUUAUGAAGGUUCAAUUGGCAAGAAGUAUUUUUGCCUUGGGAAGAUGUUGGUUAUGGAUUUAAAGCAAAAUAAAAGAUUAAAAAAAUGAUCCUUGUACAAAUUUUUGGGUGCCUCUAUUAAUUAAGUGAAUAUUAUUAUUUAAUUGAUAAAUUAAUAAUUUAUUAAUUUAAUUACUUAUUAAUUAGAUCUCUGGAAUAAUUCUAUUAUGGAACCUAUCUUGCACUAAGAAGCAUCCAUAGCGAUAAUAAUAUUAAAUAAAUUUUUGUUAUAGUACAAGAAUGUUACAUCAGACCUUUUUUUUUUUUUUUUUCAUAUUAGGAAUAGUUAAAGAUGAGAUUUAAGUAAACAUAAGUUUUAAGAAAAAAUAACACAUAUAUUUUACGAAGGAUUCUUGAUAAAACAUAUGAAUUUAAUUAUAUAUUAGAAAAUUAUUAAUUUUUAUAAUAUGUGGAUUUUAUAUGAAACUACAUAGAUUUUUUUUAUAAUGUAUUAUUUUAUAAAUUUAUCAAAUUAUUAGUUUAGCACGAUGACCCCAAAUUUAGAUUAAUUAAAAAAAUAUUUAAUUGAAGUUCUUAAUUAAUUAAAUAUUAAUUUAUUAUAAAGUUUUAUUGUAUUUUAUUUUCAUGUUCUGAAAACUAGUCGAUUUGAUUGGUUUGAGCAUUGAUUGACUAUGUAUUUUACAUAUGAGAUCGAUUAUGAGUUGCACUUUCAUCCCAAGGUAUUUAAAAAUUAGGAAAAUCAAUCCCAAGGUAUCUAUUUUACUUUUCUUAGUCUAUUCACCAUUGUCCAAACACUCCAUAAGUGGAAUGUAACUUGGAGGGGCUUGAAUAUGCAGAAUUUUAUAAUUUUGCACAUUAAUGUCUCAGAGUGUUAAAAUCUUUUACAACUAAUUGUAGAUAAGUUUAGUAUUGACAAAUAAUUUUAUUACAAUUAAAUUAUUUUUUAAUUUAUAAAAAGGUUAAAAUAAAGAUAUUUAAGAAAUAUAGUACCUUAACAAUUAAAAAUAACAUUGGUUGAUGAUAUCUAAGAAAUUCAAUGUUUUCUUCAACCUAAAAUGAAUAUAAAAAUUUGGUAUGAGGAUUGUUUGCUCGACUAUUGAAACUUAUUGACAACAUAGGAAGAGACAAAACUUUUGGGGAUAUAUUAAUAGAGUGAGGAAUUUGGUACUUGAUUCAUAGAGUAAAAGUUGAACAAAAGCAUCAAGAAACAUCGGGGUUGGAAAUGAUAGUGCACUUUUUAAAAGUCAUAGGUGGAAAGAGGGAAAAUUAGAACAGAUGAACCUUAAUUUUUUGGUAUUUUUGAUAGGUGUUUAGUAAAAUAAUUUAAUAUUACAAUUUAUAGUUAAAAAUGACUUAGUAUAUAAGCAGUUAAAAUGAUUUAGGGCUUGUUUGACCGUGUUUUUUAAAAUUUUCUUUUAAAAUAGAGAAUAAAAAUAGUGAACAUCAAGUUGUUGGAUGGACCAAUUUCUACUCAAUGCCAAAGACAGAACCACACGAAUAGUAGUUAGUUUAACCACAAAACUAAAGGUUUCAAGGAAAUCAAAACCGUGAGUUUGAUGAAAUCCUUUCACCGCUAAAUGUGCCUUAUAACAAUCAAUAGUUCCAUUAGGUUUAAACUUCAAUUUAUAAACCCAGUAACAUCUAAUGGUAUUCUGAUUAGACCAAGGAAGAAUGAUGACCUAUGUUUUAUUUUUCAUAAGAGCUUCAAAUUCAAGAUGCAUAGCCUAUUGCCAUUUAGGAACUUUAGCAAUUUCCUUAAAGGAAUUCAGUUCACAAAGUGGGGGAAAAAUAGUCUUAGUAGGAGACAAAAAUAACUUGAGUUCGAAAAUGCCAUUUUUGGCACGCAUUAUCAUGAGAUGACAAGUAUAGUAUGAACAUAAGAGGAAAGAGGUUGGGUUGUUGGAAUAGGUAUAACCUUAGAAAAGGAAAUUGGCACACUAGAAUUAGAUAUUGGAACCAACUUUGAAGGUGGACAUAAUGGGGGAGGUAAGAGGGAAGAUAUUGGAGAUGAUGGUACUACCAAGGGAAUGACACAAUGAGAGAGGGAAACAUAAUAAGGAGUCUGAACUAUGGAAGACUUAGCAAAUGGGAAAUCUAGUUCAUAAAAAAUAACAUGUUGUGAUAUAUGUAUUUUAUGAUUGGACAUGUUUAAAUAAAGAUAUUCUUUAUGCUUAGAACUAUAGUUGAUAUUUUAACGGAUUGAUAUGCAAGUUUAUGACAAUUAAAAGGAUGUAGAAAAGGAUAACAAAUGCAACCAUAGACAUGAAGAUAAUAAUAAUUUGGUAGACAAUGGUAAAGAGUCUUAUACGGAUCAAGAAGAGAUAUUCAACAUAGAGGUAGGAAGUCUAUUAAUCAAAUAUAAGGUAGAUUGGAAAGCAAAAGGUCAAUAUUUAAGUGGAAUAGAAGCAUGAGCAAGCAAAGAAAGACAUAUUUCAACCACAUGUCUAUGUUUUCUCUCCACAUGACCGUUUUGUUGAAAAGUAGAUGGACAAGAUACUCUAUGCAGAAUCCUAAAUUUACAUAAAGUAUCAAUAAAGGCUUGAAACUCCCCUCCCUAAUUAGUUUGAAGCACUCUAACUUUAGUGUAAAAUUGAGUCUCAAUUAUCACUUUAAAUUGCAAAAAAGCAGAGAUAGCUUGAUUUUUAGAAGCUAGUAGAUACAACCCCAAGAAAAUCUUGUAUGGUCAAUAAGAAAAAAGUACAAAGUAUCUUGCUCCAUUAGCACCAACAAUAGCGGUAGGACCCCAUAGAUCAAAAUGUAUAAGAGCAAAAGGCUAAGAGACUCUAGAUUUAGACAAAGUAAAAGGUAAGUGAUGACUCUUUGCCAUUUGACAAGGUUCACAAAUACCUAUCCAAUGUUUUGAGGGCAUACUAUAAGCACUCAAAACUUUAUUGACUAUUUUACGUGCAAGAUGACCUAAUUAAAAUGCCAUAGAACUACCUUAUUGGGAAGUUGUAAUGCAAAUAACAUACACAGGACCUCAAUUGCCAAGCUUGUUCUUCUAACAAUUUUAUUACAAUUGGAAUCUAUAUUUUUUACCAGAAGCUGAAGAUGACAAUUUGUAUAAACCAUGGUUAAGGUUGCCUUGGAGAAGAGCCUUCUUUGAAGCUUGAUCCUUCAUCACAAAUCCAUUAGUAAAGAAUUCCACAGUAACAUUAUUGUCAGUACACAACUUAUUCACACUUAUCAGAUUGGUUGUAAGUUGUGGAACAUGUAAAAUAUUCUUUAGAUUUAAAGACUGAGAAACCGACAAAAUAGUAGAGUAUCCAAUAUUUGAGAUAUUUAAGCAAUUACCGUUUCCAAUGACGACUUUGUCCAAACUAGCAAAUGGAGUAUGUGCAUUCAAGUUGUUGAAAUUUAGAGUUAGGUGAUAUGUAGCUCUAGUAUCCAUGUACCAACUUCCAUCUCCAAUAGUGGCCAGAGUUGCAAUCAUUGCAGCAAGAUGAGGUUACUCAAUUCUUAGGGUUCUUCUUUCUCAUUGGUUUUUGACUCAGAUGAGUUAACUUAGUUCCUAGAGCUCUUCCUCAAUGACAAACAAUUCUGAUUAGAGUGUGGCAAUGAGUUCAAUGAGCAAGCUGGUGAUUGGUCAAGGCCUCACCAGUGAUGAGGAUGUUGGUGAUAGCAACAAUCUAGUUGGAGAAAUGAUUUUUUCCAACACCUUCAAACACCGUAAAAAUGAUCAUAUCAUCAUCAUGAUCUUAGAUAAGAGAAACUUAAAGUUUUUUUUUUUAUUUCAAUUUCAAAUUCAAAACAAAAUUGCAGAGCACUAGAUACAAAAAAAAGAAAAAAGAAAAUAAAAGAACAAAAAAUCACUAUAGAAACCUUAGAAAACACACUAGGAAGAAAAAUCAUAGACAAACUCACAGAAGAAUUUUAUGGCUUUAGGAGUCGGAGCCGGAGCUAGAGAAGAGUCUUAAUGGACAUUGAGGAGGGACAAGAAGAGGUGUUCAACUAUAAUUUAUAUAGGCUAUAUAUAUUGUAAAUGUUGGCUUUAAAAUGUAUCUGGUAGUGACCCAAUGGAAGUGGAGUCUAUAGGAACAUCUAUGGUAGCGAUCCAAAAAUUAUUGCAGUUAUAGGAGAAUAUAUAAUAGCACUUUCAACAGUAAUCGUGACUAUGUAUAUUUCCUGGAAAAUUUCCCACCAAUCCCAAUCUCAAUCCCUUUAGAUGCAUGUGGUUGGAAUAUGCAUGAGGCCAUAUAUUAUGCGGUUGGGAUAUGAAUGAGGCUAUAUAAUAUUUUUAGUUGUGGAUUUUCUUAGCCCCUACUAAAACUAUAUUGCCAUUUCCUAUUCUUCUUGUAAUGUCAAGUUGGAAAGUCAAACUUAAUUUAAAAACUUUUUAAAUAUUAAACUUAGAGUUAGAGUUAGGUGGUGUUUGUUUUUUUUUUUUGUUGAAAACAAUUUGUUUUCAGAAUUUAAGUCGUUUGUUUUUCUAUUUUUUCAUGACUUAUUAUAUACUUUUUACCAAACAGAAAAAACCAAAAUAUGUAGUUUUUUCUAAAUAGAAAAAAUAAUAUGUUCAUUUUUUUUACUUUUUAAUACUUAAUAGAAAUAAAAUACUACAAAAACAAACAACCUAAUAUUUAACAUUAUUAAGUAUUAAGGUUCUAUUUAGAAUUAAAUAAAAAAAAAUAAAUGCCACAUUAGUUUCUAAAUGUUAAGGAGAACAUUUUAUUUUGAAUGAUUAUUUAGUGUUUGUAUUUGAGUAGUUAAGUCGUCAAAGGUCUCUGUAUUUGAUUAUUAAGAGUUUCUAUUUGGAUAAAUGUGAGUAUAUUUAUAAACAAAAAUUCAUAUAUAUAAUAUAUAUAUAUAUAUUUUAAAAAAGCAAUAGAAUACAAUAAAUUUUUAAUUCUCUCCUAUUUUAUCUUUUUUAUAAGUGUGUGUUUCUCUUUCAUCUAGACAACUCACACAAUACUAACACAAUGAGAGUAAAAGGAGAAGGGCAACAAAGAGUUGGAGCCGGAGAUCAUUGGAGGAACGGGUCAACUGUAGGCCGGUUGUCCAUGGGCUCAUAUAAGUAACAAAAAUUGGAAAUGGUUUCUAUAUCUUAGUGUCGUCUAGAAGACGACAAUCUACCUGUCAGUGUGCAGCAGAAGAGAAAGCGUGAUAUCUACUUCGAGUCAAAACAAAAGGGAACCAGCUCGCAAUUCCUCCGAUACAUCAUUACCGACGUCAUAGCUCUAUUCCCCCAAUUCGUCACUACCAACUUCAUUCUAUCUCCAUUACGCAUUAUUUAAAGAGUCCCCAUGCAGAUGCUGUUCGAAACACAAGUCAGCUUUGACACAACCCCACGUCAUUGUGAUAACCCAUCCGGCACAGGUCCCUGUCCAAAGACCCAUCUUACUCUUUACAUUGUGGCCACUGAUUUAGUAUCUAAUCUCAGGCAAAAUUCACUGGUUUGAUGAAGGUUAUAGAACAAAACUUGUGUUAUUCUUAUCUUUGUUUUUGAUGAACUUUAAAGCAUUUAAAAAGAUUCAACUGGUAAGAAGUAUUUUUGCCUUGGGAAGAUGUUGGUUAUGGAUUAAAAGCAAAAAAGACCCUUGUACAUAUUUUUGGGUACCUGUCAAGCAAAUUAAUGCACAUCCGAACAUCACAACUGUUGUCUCUUAAAUUCUUCCAAUUGACCUGCUUUCGUCUUAUUGAGCGUCUGGGUUACUUGAUAAUGCAAAAACUCAUACAGUUAUUUCGAUAAAUUAAGAGCCUCAGGCAUCAAGGAAAAUCUAUUAUUACUUAAUCGAUAAAUUAAUAAUUUAUUAAUUUAAUUGCUUAUUAAUGAGAUCUCUUGAAUAAUUCUAUUAUGGAACAAGACACCAUAACAAUAUUAAAUAAAUUUUUGUCACAGUGUAAGAAUGCCGCAAUAGAUGUAAUAUGAGAAUGUGAUAUUUAAUUAUGGGCCUCCGCUUAAAAUAAGUAAAUAAAUAAUUAAUAAUUAAAAUUUAAAUAAAAUAAAUAAUUAAUUAAUAAUUAAAAUACAAAUACUAGACUCACAUUCUGAGCAGCCGCUUCUAAACUCUUAUACGCUACAAAAAAACAUACACAAAGAAAUCUAGGAUUCUAGAUUUAAGUGAAGAGAAAGAGGAUUUGAUCUUUUUGUUCUUUCUCGAAAAUUUCAUGGUAAGUGAUACUUCUUAAAGAUUUUUUUUUUCAGUUUUUCUUCUUAGAAACUUUAAUUUCCUAAUAAGAUUCAGAAAUAAUUAAUAAAAACAAGAAAUUAAGAAAUACAUUGAAAGUAAUUAAAUCUAAUAUGAUAGAAACCUAAUAAUAAUAAUAAAAAUAAUAGAAAGUUUGAUGUAUUAUUUCUGAUACCUAAAGGAAAAUUCUAUAUGAAAUUGUGGAGUUAAUGUUUUUUUUUUUAAAUAUAUAAUAAUAACAAAAAACAAUAGAAAGUUUGAUGUGUUAUUGCGUAAACCUAGAAGAAAAUUCUAUAUGAAAUAGUGGAGUUAAUGUUUUUAAAAUAUAUAUAUAUAUAUAUACUAGAAAUUCUUAUGUGUAGGAGAUAAGAAUUCUAUUGGAGGCCUCCAAUUUUAUUAUGUUAGGAUUCCAUAAUGAAUUAAAUUAAAUUAAAUUAAUAUAAUUUAGAUUAGAUUAAUUAUAACUGUGGGAAUUGAAAAGCUUAGGAUGACAAUUAAGAAAUGGAAAUAUGAUAUUUUUUCUAGAUAAAUGAAUAAUUUAUAUAUAUGUUAAAAAACUAUAUAUAUUUAGAAUAUAAUUAUUAUUAGAACAUUAGUUUAAAGAACCCUUAUAAUUUCUCAGGUAAUUCAAAGGAAAUUCUACCGCUUUAAUAUUUGGAGUUUAAGUCCAAUUAAGGGGACAAAUUAAAAAAUAUUUAAGUAUAAUUUUCUUUUGAAAGUUUCAAGAAAUUGGGAAAUAAUUUUGUUAUAAGGUAUAUGUUUGCUUAGAUGUGUGAUAUGAAUUUUUUUUUGUUUAAAAGAAAAAAAAAAUAGGACUAGUAAUCUAAUCCCUGUUAAUAAAGGAAAGUGUUUUGACUUUGGGUCAUAUAAAGUAACUAAAUUGGAAAAUGGUCUCUAGAUCUUAACUUUGGGUCGCGACUAGAAGACGACAAACUACCGGUCAGUGUACAGCAGAAGAUAAAGUGAGACAGGAUACUUAUACAUCUCUUGAAAUUAAUUUGUCUUUGGUCAAAACAAAGAGGAAGCAGCUCACAAUUCCUCCAAAACAUCAUUGCAAACGUCAUAGCUCUGUUUCCCCAAAUUCGUCAUUCCAUACUCUGCCUUCCUUAUUUAAAGAGUUCCAUGCAGAUGCAGAUGCAGUUCGAAACACAAGUCAGAUUUGAUCAUCCUCUGCAUAGACCCAACCGAAGUAUCUCCACUUCAUCUUCUUCCCCUACAAUGACACAACCCCAUUUCAUUGUGAUAACCUAUCCGGCACAAGGCCACAUCAACCCUUCUCUCCAACUGGCUAAGCGCCUCAUACGUGCUGGUGCCCAUGUCACAUUCGUCACUAGCACCUAUGCCGGUGAGCGCAUGGCCAAAACCCCAACCAUGGAUGGGUUAAAAUUUGUCACAUUCCCGGAUGGCUGCGACAGUGGCCUCAAGCAAAGCGAUGCCCUCCAAGGCUUCAUGUCUGAGCUUGAGCGUCUUGGCUCCCAAGCUCUUAUCGGCCUCCUCAUAGCCAGCGCUAAUGAAGGUCGUCCCGUUACUUGCAUAAUCUACGGCAUCCUGAUUCCUUGGGUAGCAGAGGUGGCGCGUAGUCUUCACAUCCCCUCCGCACUUUUUUGGAGUCAACCUGUCUCUGUUUUUAAUAUCUAUUAUUAUUAUUUUUGUGGCUAUGGAGAGCUCAUUCGCAAGAAAGUCAGUGACUCCUCGCCUUCCAUUGAAUUACCAGGACUGCCCUUGCUCAGUAGCCGUGACAUUCC